ACUGAGAACCCGAAAGGUCGAAGGGAGAAAUUCAUUCGCGUUUCGUAGCGCGGACGUCGGACGGGUUCGAGCGGCCGGAAUGGAGCGCGUUCGCGCGUUUCGCCGGCGCCGACCCGUUCGUUCGUUAAUGAGCGCGCGACGAACGCGUGCACUUUUCUCUCGGUAGGACGUCGCGAUCCGUCGGGCGUCGGUCUACGGACCGCGGAGGAGCCCGUUCGUCGUUCCUAACGGGACGUUCACGGACGGACCCGCGGAUUUCCCGGCCGACACGCUCGACGGUCGAAACGAGGUCGAAGGCCGCUCUCUCUAAGGAGCGUCCGGCUCGCGGCAAGCGCGCCGGUUGUUAGUCGGCGAUCGGACCCCGUGCCGAUUCCGACCUCCGGUGACUGUUGGCCGCGAACGUCUCGGACAGACUUUCGGACCGAUMGGCGACGCWAUAGCUUUGGGUACUUUCAGGACCCGUCUUGAAACACGGACCAAGGAGUCUAGCAUGUACGCGAGUCAUUGGGACUAAACUAAACCUAAAGGCGUAAUGAAAGUGAAGAUCCUCGUUCCCUCCGUCUCUUUUUCGAAAGGGACGAGCGGCGCGGGGAUCGAGGGAAGACGGGCGGUAUACGCCGUUAAAAGUGGGUGCCGCUCCGCAUUCCCGGGGCGUCUCGUUCUCAUCGCGAGAAGAGGCGCACCAAGAGCGUACACGCUGGGACCCGAAAGAUGGUGAACUAUGCCUGGUCAGGACGAAGUCAGGGGAAACCCUGAUGGAGGUCCGUAGCGAUUCUGACGUGCAAAUCGAUCGUCGGAACUGGGUAUAGGGGCGAAAGACUAAUCGAACCAUC
RNAcentral lists this ribosomal RNA (833 nucleotides) under Pseudostenoscelis sp. BHJ-2011. RNAcentral describes it as "eukaryotic LSU rRNA". The stretch from base 374 to 833 matches the Rfam family "Eukaryotic large subunit ribosomal RNA", at positions 1 to 944 of the family's 3401-position model. The record is from RNAcentral. Lineage: Eukaryota; Metazoa; Arthropoda; Insecta; Coleoptera; Curculionidae.